This is a non-coding RNA of Aplosporella prunicola CBS 121167, 86 nucleotides long. NCBI's taxonomy places the organism in Eukaryota, Fungi, Ascomycota, Dothideomycetes, Botryosphaeriales, Aplosporellaceae. The record is from the annotation of a RefSeq genome assembly.
GGGCGGUUGGCGCAAUGGUAGCGCGUUGGUUUUCGGCUCUGCUUAGAAAACACCAAAGGUUGUGGGUUCGAUCCCCAUGCUGCUCG